GAUGAACGCUGACAGAAUGCUUAACACAUGCAAGUCAUUGGCGAAGCUGCGCUUGCGCAGUCUAGCCAAGGCGGACGGGUGAGUAACGCGUAAGGAACUUGCCCUGCAGACAGGGAUAACAGACGGAAACGACUGAUAACACCUGGUAUUGUCAGGCUGGCGCAUGCCGGCCUGAUGAAAGGAGACGCUGCAGGAGAGCCUUGCGUCCUAUUAGCUAGUUGGUGGGGUAACGGCCCACCAAGGCGAUGAUAGGUAGCCGGCCUGAGAGGGUGAACGGCCACAAGGGGACUGAGAUACGGCCCUUACUCCUACGGGAGGCAGCAGUGGGGAAUAUUGGACAAUGGGGGCAACCCUGAUCCAGCGAUUCUGUGUGCACGAAGAAGGUUUUCGGAGUGUAAAGUGCUUUCAGCAGGGAAGAAGAAAGUGACGGUACCUGCAGAAGAAGCGACGGCUAAAUACGUG
This 462-nucleotide ribosomal RNA is filed under the name uncultured bacterium. Its description in RNAcentral is "partial 16S ribosomal RNA". It matches the Rfam family "Bacterial small subunit ribosomal RNA", at positions 28 to 507 of the family's 1533-position model. The record is from RNAcentral.